AGAAGUAAUACGCAGGUCACAAUGCCAUUUUGUUCAUAUGGCGACUUCCCCAGCUUCCGAUGGUGGUAGGGAAGACCCCGGGUGACCCUCCUGGAUGGCAUCACCGACCUUUCCGUAAAUCAGAUAAAUUCUCAGGAUAUUGCUACGGAUCAGCCGAAAAGGAUCGACUGGUUUCAAAAACCAUCGCAGCUAUCGAGGACGUUCGCCCAAGUAUACCACGCAAACAUUACAAUAUACGAUUUGUGCCUUUCUUCGAUACUAACGGCAAACCUCAAGGAAACACAGAAUUUCUUAUGAUAAGUGUUGAAGGGACCAAUAAGACGUGGCAAAAGAUAAUGUACAGAAAUGCAAGUCAAGUAAUAUACAUCUGCCAUCAUGGUCACAUACGUGAAGCCGAAGGAUACGAAAUAGAGGAAAUAUUGCGAAGGGAAAGCCAACGAGAUGACAUGAAAAAAUAUUUUGAAAGAGAACGUAAAAUUUUUGAAGAGAUUGUAGAACAACAGAAGAAAGAGUUAGAAGAUAAACAAGAUGCAUUAAACAGAGUAAUGGUUGAACUUGUCAAUAGAAAGGCUUCAGACGAAUGCGUGGAACACGAAGAAGAUAAGAAUGAUAAUGAUAAAAGAGGCGACGCGAAUGCCAAUGAAGACUGCGUCAAGAACCCCAGUCGCAAGAAAAAGGACGAAUUGUAUAAAUCUAGACUAUGUGUUGUUUCUUAAUUAGAGUGUAUAAUUAAAUUGUUGUGAGAGAUUUUGACAACAUGACAAGAAGUCACAAAUGGUUCCCAGCAGAAGUGCUCCUGUGAUAUUAUCGUUGUAGCUUUGGUUAAUUGCCAGAAGGAAGUUUAAUGCAAAAUUAAAAUUCAAGAAUACUUUUUGGAAUUGUUUGAAUUGAUUCUGGAGCGCGGAGUGUGUUGAGUUCUUUGGCAAUUCUUUUGAAUAUUGAUAAUAUGCCUGUAUCUAUGAGUAAAUUAGACUUUUGAAGCUUAAAAAUGUUGACACUUAUUUUGUGCAUUGUUUUCAAUGACUUCUUAACAUUGCAUGUAUAACAAGAUACACAGAAAUACCUUUGAUACAAUUUUAUAGAGCAUUUUAAAGUUCUUUAACUGUGAACUGUGUUUAACUGUGUGCACAUAUUUAUGUUUUAAAUUUUUGUAUCAGAUUUGGAAGAAAAGGGUUGGAACCCUAUUAAAUUCUUUAAUUUAAACAAUAAAUAUAUGAUCUCUCUUUUGAAGUCAAAUACAGGACCGUAGAGAGCAUUUUCAGAUUGUGGGGAUGGGGGCCGACCUACUCACCAGAGAUAUUCUACAAUUAUGUUACCCUUUAUUUCUUCAGAAAUAAUCAAACAAGUCCUGAUUUCUGAGCUUUUAUUUUGUAGAUGUAGUGAAAUGUGGGGUAGAUGGGGAUUAAUGAGAGUAGUGCUCUCGUGCCGGGCGAAUGUCCGAAACCUUGGGGACAGCAGACAAAUAACUCUGGGGCUGUUAGUUCUCUAUUGUGUCCAGACUCGAGUUUUGAGGAAAUCAGUGAUGCGUAUCCGCAGAGGAGCAGUACAUUGACCGGUAACCAGCUUGAUGACUGUAUCAGAUCAUGGUGGGAGUAAUAUUGCUGACACCACUAAUGCUAGUAGGAAUGGUAGGAAUAAUACCACAUUUAUUCCCAACAAGUUAAUUAGUAAAGGAGAUCAUUAUGAGAUUGUAUCCACUCAUAAUCUUAGUACUAUGUGUGUUAGUGCAGAUACUGUACUUUACAGUUUAAAAAAUAUGACCACCGUUUCAACCCUUAAUUCCAAUAUCCAAAGCAAUCUUGCCAGUAAUACAAAUACUGUAUCUACCAUACUUCCCAAUGCCAUGUGCAAUAUAGACAAUGUGGAUACGUAGUAACCCUCAAGUUUAGCACCCAUAUGACUUAUGCCAUAAAUCAGACCUUACUUACCCUUUCUAUGGAUGCCCUAGAAAGAAUGGAUACUGUAGUCACCCCUGUUUCUAGCGCUAAAUGUGUUCUGUACAACAUUUCUCCUAGUUCCAUGUGUGCUAUAGACAACACGGAUGCUGCAUUCAUCCCACUUCUGACACCAAUAUAGCGAAAAUGGCCUUCGUUAUACCGGGGUCGAUACUCAUAUUAGGGGCGGAAGAGGUUUAACAAACAGAUAUAAAUACAAUGCAGUCACUUACUACCACAGAUGGCCUUGGACUUCAGUUGGUGAUAUUCGGUUGGAUAUAUAUUUAUUUGUCUGAAAACUAAGUGAUUCACAGCCUCUUGAUCCCAACAUCAGAAAGUCCGUUUUUCAAAUAGACGAUUUCCGUCAAGAAGUCACCAACUACACAUGUGCACUUGCAAAUGGCGAACAAAGUGGAAACAUUGUUAUUGGACAGUACGCUGACGAUAACUUCUCGGGAUAUAGCUACGGAUCAGCUGAAAAGGAUCGACUGCGUUUAGAAACUAUCGCAGCUAUCAAGGAAGUUCGCCCAAAAAUACCAGGCAAAGAUUACAAGAUACAGUUUGUGCCUUUCUUCGAUUCUCACGGCAAACCUCAAG
RNA transcript from Mercenaria mercenaria, 2531 nucleotides. RefSeq lists it as uncharacterized. NCBI's taxonomy places the organism in Eukaryota, Metazoa, Mollusca, Bivalvia, Venerida, Veneridae. The transcript has 7 exons. The record is from RefSeq and is a predicted model, not a curated record.